UACAGAGGUCUCAAGCGUUGUUCGGAUUCAUUGGGCGUAAAGGGUGCGUAGGUGGCGCUGUAAGUCGGGUGUGAAAUCUCGGAGCUUAACUCCGAAACUGCAUUCGAUACUGCCGUGCUUGAGGACUGGAGAGGAGACUGGAAUUCCCGGUGUAGUGGUGGAAUGCGUAGAUAUCGGGAGGAACACCAGUGGCGAAGGCGGUUACCUGGAGCUUUGCUGACGCUGAUGCGCGAAAGCGUGGGGAGCGAUCCGG
RNAcentral lists this ribosomal RNA (253 nucleotides) under uncultured bacterium. Its description in RNAcentral is "partial 16S ribosomal RNA". It matches the Rfam family "Bacterial small subunit ribosomal RNA", at positions 524 to 776 of the family's 1533-position model. The record is from RNAcentral.